UGGCUUAAUGAUUAAGCACUUGGCUACUAACCAAAAGGUUGGUGGUUCAAACCUACC
RNAcentral lists this transfer RNA (57 nucleotides) under Loxodonta africana (African savanna elephant). It matches the Rfam family "tRNA", at positions 8 to 63 of the family's 71-position model. From Rfam's summary of the family: Transfer RNA (tRNA) molecules are approximately 80 nucleotides in length. Their secondary structure includes four short double-helical elements and three loops (D, anti-codon, and T loops). Further hydrogen bonds mediate the characteristic L-shaped molecular structure. tRNAs have two regions of fundamental functional importance: the anti-codon, which is responsible for specific mRNA codon recognition, and the 3' end, to which the tRNAs corresponding amino acid is attached (by aminoacyl-tRNA synthetases). tRNAs cope with the degeneracy of the genetic code in two manners: having more than one tRNA (with a specific anti-codon) for a particular amino acid; and 'wobble' base-pairing, i.e. permitting non-standard base-pairing at the 3rd anti-codon position. Lineage: Eukaryota; Metazoa; Chordata; Mammalia; Proboscidea; Elephantidae. The record is from Rfam by way of RNAcentral.